AUACGUAGGGUGCAAGCGUUAAUCGGAAUUACUGGGCGUAAAGCGUGCGCAGGCGGUUUUUUAAGUCAGUGGUGAAAUCCCCGGGCUCAACCCGGGAACUUCCAUUGAUACUGCAAAGCUGGAGUGCGGCAGAGGGGGAUGGAAUUUUCGGGGUAGAGGUGAAAUGCGUAGAUAUGCGGAGGAACACCGAUGGCGAAGGCAAUCCCCUGGGCCUGCACUGACGCUCAUGCACGAAAGCGUGGGGAGCAAACAGGAUUAGAUACCCUGGUAGUCCACGCCCUAAACGAUGUCAACUGGUUGUUGGGGAUUUAUUUUCUCAGUAACGAAGCUAACGCGUGAAGUUGACCGCCUGUGGAGUACGGCCGCAAGGUUAAAACUCAAAUGAAUUGACGGGG
Molecule: ribosomal RNA, 395 nt
Filed under: uncultured bacterium
Lineage: Bacteria
Description: partial 16S ribosomal RNA
Rfam family: Bacterial small subunit ribosomal RNA
Source: RNAcentral